Molecule: long non-coding RNA, 906 nt
Filed under: Homo sapiens (human)
Lineage: Eukaryota; Metazoa; Chordata; Mammalia; Primates; Hominidae
Description: HSALNT0022771
Source: RNAcentral
CGUCACUGGGGCGCUAUGGUGCCUGGAGCUGGGCAGUUUUCUCGUCAGAGUGGGGACUGGUAAGAGCGACCUCCCCGCCAGGUCCUGUGUGUUGCCGGCUGAAGAAGGGUAGCUGAAAAAUUCAGACCCAGCACAGUGUUUAUGUUGGUCAAAAAUAGAAAACUAUGUCUGGCGCGGCCGAGGCGGGAGGACCCUUCAGGCCAAGAGCAGCGUAGCAACAUGGCGCAACCCCAUCUCUGUAGUCCUACCUCAGCCCCCCAGCUACUUGAACCCAAAGGUUCAAGGCUCCAGUGAGCUAUGAUCCCACCACAGCAUUCCAGCCUGCGAGAUUGAGAUGAUGAUUAUUCCCCACCUUCUAAGAGACAAAGACCAACGAGCCACCACAGCCACCAGUCCCAGAACCCGCCAAUGCUGGGGAACGGAAAAUGAGGGAGUUCAACUCUGGUAAGUUCUCAGCGAAAUCCAUGACCUUUUCCUUUAUCUUCUGGACUCUCAAUGUGACUGAUGAAAGUUACCACAUGCUCUGCAGGGGGAAAUGGUUUAGCAUGUGUUACUACAUCUUAAUCACAUCUUUGUAAAGCCAGGAGCAUUUUACAAGUCACGUUACAGACAUUGUUUAAACAUAGUCUGUAUUUACCAAAGUAUAGGACAUUGUAUCAUCUCAUAUUAAUUAGUCAGUUGGCUCAAAAUUAGUGCUAAUGACUUAGUAAUUCAGUGAUUUCUGUUAGCUUUAAAACCUUUAUUUCAGAACUAUUUCACCUUUUGGUUUUCAUUUUUGCUGUGUGUCACUGCCUGCCGGCUGCUAAUUUAUUAACUCCCAGUGAAUCAUGUGUCCUGUGAAGGGACUGAAUAUUAGUGGCAAUUUAUGUUGAUGAUUUGUAUUUUGAAUAAAUAGUUUGAAUACAU